CGUUUUGGCUCCAAGGCAGAAGAGGGAUGGGGAUUAAGUGACUUGCCCAGGGUCACGCAGCCAGGAAGCGUCCGAGCUCCGAUUCCGAUCCCGGGUGUCCUGAGCGGCAGAGAUCCCAAGCUGGGUGGAGCACAUGGGAUACUCGCCCCAGUGAGAAGGCAUCUCCCAGGCGAGGGUGGCAGCGGCCGUAGGAUCCUAGCAGCGGCGGCCAGGGGGGCAGCUGAGGGAAUGGCCCGCCAGGGUAGUUGGUAUUUUGUGGGAGGAAUUUCACUGUUGAGGGGAAUAAAGUGUCCUCUUAAGACCUGUGAGAAAGUUUUCCGGGCAAAGCCGUGAGCGGGCUCUUGUCCACGUCCGCUUUCACUCUCCAGUCGAGUCUCCGAGGAAAGGCACGUUUCCCCUCGGGCUUCAGGGGUUCCUCUGGGGAGUCACGGCUGAUCCCGUCACGUCAUUCGUUGGCUCGAGCCUCCGCUUGCGGGUUUCUCUCCGCGCUGAGCCAGCCCGGCGUAGCGUCGGGAAGAGGAACGUGUCCCAGCGUCCGAGAACGUAGCGAAGCAGAUCCGAAGCGGACAAGGACCGCUGACCCGGGACCGAGGAAGAGACGGCCAUUACCGGCGAGGGAGAUCCGGGCCCCCAGCGCCGCGCACGGUCCUCGAUGCUGUCUGAAGGGAGAGACGGCCGUGGCGGGGGCAGCAAAUAGUCCUCCUGGAGAUUCCCCCCGAGAGGCACCACGACAGGAACUUGGCCCAGCGUUAGCCGCAAAGACGUGUGUCUUCCCUGGGGCCUCCCCAGGUGUGUCACCUCGGAGGCGUGCGGGGACGCCCGGGAGGCUGAAUGAGGCGCCAGAAGAAAGCCGAGGAAGCACGGCUAGAGGCUGGGAAGUUCAAGGCGAGACACGGAAGACCGAGAGGGCGCGUGAGGGGCUUGGACCACAAAUGCUGACGGAAGCCAAAGAUGCCGGAAGAGGCAGCAGGCUGUGAGACAAAGGAAACAAGCAAAACUGAGCAUCACACGGAAAACAGAGUGGAGGAGGGGUGACCGAGAAACGUAUUCUGUGGCACUCUGUACAAUCUGCGUCAUAUGGCCUUUCUGGGGAGGGAGGGAAACAAAGAGAAUGAGACAUGGAUCUUUUGGACAUAGCUAAGGUGAGAAUUUAUUCCUAUUGGAUAAGCACAUUCGUUAUAAUUUAUUACAUAUUUAUAACAAAUCACAGGUAUAAUAUUGUUAUGUACAUAUUAUAUUAUAUAUGAAAAUAAAUGAAACAAAAACAUGGGCA
Molecule: long non-coding RNA, 1273 nt
Filed under: Monodelphis domestica (gray short-tailed opossum)
Lineage: Eukaryota; Metazoa; Chordata; Mammalia; Didelphimorphia; Didelphidae
Description: lncRNA (ENSMODG00000037115.1)
Source: RNAcentral